Oncorhynchus tshawytscha (Chinook salmon) is the source of this 961-nucleotide long non-coding RNA. NCBI's taxonomy places the organism in Eukaryota, Metazoa, Chordata, Actinopteri, Salmoniformes, Salmonidae. The record is from Ensembl.
UAAAAUAAUAUCCCUCUAUACGGGAGGGUAAAAUAAUGUCCCUCUGUACGGGAGGGUAAAAUAAUGUCCCUCUAUACGGGAGGGUAAAAUAAUGUCCCUCUAUACGGGAGGGUAAAAUAAUGUCCCUCUAUACGGGAGGGUAAAAUAAUGUCCCUCUAUACGGGAGGGUAAAAUAAUGUCCCUCUGUACGGGAGGGUAAAAUAAUAUCCCUCUAUACGGGAGGGUAAAAUAAUGUCCCUCUAUACGGGAGGGUAAAAUAAUAUCCCUCUAUACGGGAGGGUAAAAUAAUGCAUUAGUCAUACUAAUUCAAUCUAAUCAAGCAAACAAAUAUAUAAAUAAACAUUUAAAAAAGGGAUUAACAAUUGUUACAUAUAAACUUGACUGUUACACUUCAGAAUGGUAAGUAGUUAUACAGCAUUUCCCAUAACUUUGUCUCUAAGAAGUGCUAGUUUACGGUAACAACUAAGCUAAAAACUAUGGAUUUGAACCACAGUUGAGCGUAGAUACUCUGAAUGAUAGAAACCACAGCUGGGGGCAACCCCACAGCUAGCAGCUUACCAGCACAGUAUUAUAUUAUAAUUUUACUAUACAGUUAUGUCCUAUGUAUGCAUUAAUGCAUCAUUCAUGUUGUUAAGAAUGCAUUCAUUAGAAUAUAUAACACUAUACAAGAAGCAGCUUCAAGUAAGUGUUACGAUAUUAUAUCAUGUCAUAUUAUACUGUUCUAUAUUACAGUGUAUUUCAUGUUAUAUUUGAUUAUAUUUACACUUAGUUUCAUCUUAUAUAUUAUAUAUUUUCAACUGGCUUCAUGCCGUUGCUGACCAGUCCUGGUCCUGCUUGUUCACCAGAGCAGUUUUCUUCAUCCACUGACCAACAGGGUUGUUCUCCAACCUUAGACACAGAACACAGUAAGACAGGCUGGUUCAGGAAACAUGGUUAAAAACAUGGUUAUUAUACAAUCCUG